RNAcentral lists this transfer RNA (98 nucleotides) under Streptomyces longisporoflavus. RNAcentral's name for it is "tRNA-Val". The record is from RNAcentral. Lineage: Bacteria; Bacillati; Actinomycetota; Actinomycetes; Kitasatosporales; Streptomycetaceae.
CGAGGUGGGGCGGCACCUGGUCGACAGCGGCCGGGUCACGGCGGGCGAGCUGGAGAUGUGCCACAUCGGGGCGCUGUUCGACGCCGCGUUCUUCGUCC